CAACUAAAAUUACUAGCAAGACUUAGUUUGAGUACCAAAGUCCCUUGGUAUCCUUGGUAUGUCAAGAAACAGGUCGGAGGGUGGACGGAAGUGUACGAGGGACUAACGUUUGUGACGGUGAGAGGAGCAGGUCACGAGGUGCCAUUGUUCAAGCCUCGUGCUGCUUUUGAGCUGUUCAAGUAUUUCUUGACAGGCAAGCCACCUCCUAAGGCUUGAUAAAAAAAAUCCAAGUCAAGAUCAGAGAUUGUAAUAUUCGAAAUUAUGGUGAGAAAAACAAACUAAAUGUAAAGUUUGGGUUACGAUUUAUGAGUUAUGAGAUUGAAUUAAAAUCAAAUUUUAGAGUUAA
Brassica oleracea var. oleracea is the source of this 346-nucleotide long non-coding RNA. RefSeq lists it as uncharacterized. The transcript is spliced from 2 exons. Lineage: Eukaryota; Viridiplantae; Streptophyta; Magnoliopsida; Brassicales; Brassicaceae. The record is from RefSeq and is a predicted model, not a curated record.